RNAcentral lists this ribosomal RNA (253 nucleotides) under uncultured bacterium. Its description in RNAcentral is "partial 16S ribosomal RNA". It matches the Rfam family "Bacterial small subunit ribosomal RNA", at positions 524 to 776 of the family's 1533-position model. The record is from RNAcentral.
UACGGGGGGGGCAAGCGUUGUUCGGAAUUACUGGGCGUAAAGGGCUCGUAGGCGGCCAACUAAGUCGGACGUGAAAUCCCUCGGCUUAACCGGGGAACUGCGUCCGAUACUGGAUAGCUCGAGUUUGGGAGAGGGAUGCGGAAUUCCAGGUGUAGCGGUGAAAUGCGUAGAUAUCGGGAGGAACACCUGUGGCGAAAGCGGCGCACUGGACCACAACUGACGCUGAGGCGCGAAAGCUAGGGGAGCAAACAGG